Long non-coding RNA from Solea solea (common sole), 327 nucleotides. RefSeq lists it as uncharacterized. The record is from RefSeq and is a predicted model, not a curated record. The transcript is spliced from 3 exons. Lineage: Eukaryota; Metazoa; Chordata; Actinopteri; Pleuronectiformes; Soleidae.
UGGAUGCUGAUAUUUUUGAUGAACUGCUGAGAUCUUCUACAAUGUCUUUCAAAGUGGUCACAGAGCACACUGAUGAGGACCAGGUAACCGAGGCCUCCUUCUGCUCAGAGGAGGGGUCAUACUCAUCAGUUGAGUCUCUCAGCUCUGCAAGUUCCUCUUCCACAGUGAUAACAGAGAGCACCACAGCACGGAAAAGGCGACUAGUUGAGGGACCACCUGACAGUAAGGUUGCAAAAAAUAUUGUCUAUGUAGCUCUGCAUCAAAAACCAGGGGGUGAAGAUGUAUUCAAAGAGUACAACAACACAAAUGGUCUUUCUGAUCAUACAA